RNAcentral lists this ribosomal RNA (472 nucleotides) under uncultured bacterium. RNAcentral's name for it is "bacterial SSU rRNA". It matches the Rfam family "Bacterial small subunit ribosomal RNA", at positions 8 to 526 of the family's 1533-position model. The record is from RNAcentral.
AGAGUUUGAUCAUGGCUCAGAACGAACGCUGGCGGCAUGCCUAACACAUGCAAGUCGAACGAGACCUUCGGGUCUAGUGGCGCACGGGUGCGUAACGCGUGGGAAUCUGCCCUCAGGUACGGAAUAACUCAGGGAAACUUGAGCUAAUACCGUAUAAUGACUUCGGUCCAAAGAUUUAUCGCCUGAGGAUGAGCCCGCGUCGGAUUAGCUAGUUGAUGGGGUAAAAGCUCACCAAGGCGACGAUCCGUAGCUGGUCUGAGAGGAUGAUCAGCCACACUGGGACUGAGACACGGCCCAGACUCCUACGGGAGGCAGCAGUGGGGAAUAUUGGACAAUGGGCGAAAGCCUGUUCCAGCAAUGCCGCGUGAGUGAUGAAGGCCUUAGGGUUGUAAAGCUCUUUUACCCGGGAUGAUAAUGACAGUACCGGGAGAAUAAGCCCCGGCUAACUCCGUGCCAGCCGCCGCGGUAAUAC